Molecule: long non-coding RNA, 846 nt
Organism: Engraulis encrasicolus (European anchovy)
Lineage: Eukaryota; Metazoa; Chordata; Actinopteri; Clupeiformes; Engraulidae
Exons: 3
Source: RefSeq, a predicted model, not a curated record
GAUCUUUGAAAAACGGUUCCUGUGAGCUAUAUUUUUGAAAAUACACAGCCCGCCUCUCCCUUCAGCCCUCCCAUCAAAGCCACGCCUUCAAAACACAUGAACGCGCAUGCAGUCUGUCAAGUGUUCGGAUUAUCCCGGGAACCCACGAGAGCUCACGAGGCGGGGGCGGGCUAGAAGCCUCGACAAAUCGAUUAGCCAAGCUAACUUCCAGCCAUGGCACUGUCUCCGGCUAAGACCUUCCACGACCACGAGAGCUCCAGCUCUGACUUUCCUGGCCCAUCACACGACCUAACAGCCCAGUAGGACCGAUGGCCAGAGAUGGAGGAGGAGGAAGAUAGACGCAGCAGAGGUCGGGGGUAUUGAUUAGGGAGACUCCAACAGAAUUGACGCCCUGCUAACUGCCUUGAUUCAAUCAUUGAAUUUGAAGCAAUCCCAUCGGUUACUGCAGCGUGCCCUGACCCGUGACCCCAGUUUGAUGUUCGACCUGGCACAUGACAUCUGGUCCUCAGUCACAGCCCAGUAGCACAACCAACCUGGCGCCUCUGCGCAAUCUGUAAGGAGAUGCCCAUGAACAUUGAAAGGAAAUGCUGUGGUGUUCUCAGUUUUGAUGGAAGACUUUGGGCUGAUGUAGGACCAGGUGAGACAAACGGUCUCUUCAGGCAUGCAGCCUACAGACAGUAUGGGGCACUUGAACAGGGCUGACGUUGUAAUACACAGUACAAUACCCAGGAUAAGCCAGGGUUACCCUGCUCCACUAGAGCAAUAUAAAAGGUUUAUACAGAGUACGGUAUAAAACACACAAAUCGGCAGUGUGCAGAGUUUUAUUAUUUUUCAUUAUCUGUAGGA